Non-coding RNA from Pelobates cultripes (western spadefoot toad), 220 nucleotides. The record is from the annotation of a GenBank genome assembly. NCBI's taxonomy places the organism in Eukaryota, Metazoa, Chordata, Amphibia, Anura, Pelobatidae.
AUCUGAGUUUGUAAGUCUGGGUAUAAUAAUGCAGAGGGGUGUGAUGUGCCAUUUGAUUCAUUCUGAGAAUAUAAAUAGUUCUGAAACAUGUCUUGCUCUGUGACAUAAACAUUAGCAGACGGAAAAAGGGAAAUAUUUUGUACUUUAAAUGAUUGGAAACAGCUAAAAUGUAUCAGAGAACUUGCAAUGUACUUACAAUGUGAGGAUCCAAGGUUGUUUU